This 373-nucleotide transfer-messenger RNA is filed under the name Burkholderiales. RNAcentral describes it as "Ramlibacter tataouinensis_B Standard tmRNA". It matches the Rfam family "transfer-messenger RNA". From Rfam's summary of the family: Bacterial tmRNA, also known as 10Sa RNA or SsrA, is named for its dual tRNA and mRNA-like properties. Lineage: Bacteria; Pseudomonadati; Pseudomonadota; Betaproteobacteria. The record is from RNAcentral. RNAcentral also lists the same sequence under 2 other names.
GGGGCUGUACCGGUUUCGACGUGGGUUCGGAAUCGCAGUGGGGCAUGCCGAGGUUCAGUCACCUCGUAAAUCCGCUGAAACAAACCAACUGCGAACGACGAACGUUUCGCCCUCGCCGCUUAAACACCGGUGAGCCUUACAACAGUUGGCCGAUGGGCUGGGCAAAGGGAGUAAUCCCCGCGCUGUAAGGUAAUUCACAUUGGCUGGCUUCGACCCGGGUGCCUUGGAUCGAAGCGAGAAAAUAGGGCACUGGCUGCGAUCGGAGCGUGCGACUGCGCGCCGGCUGUGGCGAGAUCCAAAUCAGACCGCUAAGCAUGUAGAUCUGCGCGAAGAAGGCUUACGGACGCGGGUUCAAUUCCCGCCAGCUCCACCA